This 58-nucleotide transfer RNA is filed under the name Clostridium grantii DSM 8605. It matches the Rfam family "tRNA", at positions 15 to 71 of the family's 71-position model. From Rfam's summary of the family: Transfer RNA (tRNA) molecules are approximately 80 nucleotides in length. Their secondary structure includes four short double-helical elements and three loops (D, anti-codon, and T loops). Lineage: Bacteria; Bacillati; Bacillota; Clostridia; Eubacteriales; Clostridiaceae. The record is from Rfam by way of RNAcentral.
UUGGGAGAGCACCUGCCUUGCACGCAGGGGGUCAAGAGUUCGAGUCUCUUUAUCUCCA